This 253-nucleotide ribosomal RNA is filed under the name uncultured bacterium. Its description in RNAcentral is "partial 16S ribosomal RNA". It matches the Rfam family "Bacterial small subunit ribosomal RNA", at positions 524 to 776 of the family's 1533-position model. The record is from RNAcentral.
UACGUAGGCAGCGAGCGUUGUUCGGAAUUACUGGGCGUAAAGAGUGUGUAGGCGGUGCUCUAAGUUCGGUGUGAAAUCUCCCGGCUUAACUGGGAGGGUGCGCCGGAAACUGGAGUGCUCGAGCGUGGGAGAGGAAAGCGGAAUUCCUGGUGUAGCGGUGAAAUGCGUAGAUAUCAGGAGGAACACCUGUGGCGAAAGCGGCUCACUGGACCACAACUGACGCUGAGGCGCGAAAGCUAGGGGAGCAAACAGG